RNAcentral lists this ribosomal RNA (119 nucleotides) under Pteropus alecto (black flying fox). Lineage: Eukaryota; Metazoa; Chordata; Mammalia; Chiroptera; Pteropodidae. The record is from RNAcentral.
GUCUAUGGCCAUGCCACCCUGAAUGUGCCCGAUCUCGUCUGAUCUCGGAAGCUAAGCAGGGUUGGGCCUGGUUAGCACUUGGAUGGGAGACCACCUUGGAAUACUAGGUGCUGUAGGCA